Molecule: long non-coding RNA, 1006 nt
Organism: Pogonomyrmex barbatus (red harvester ant)
Lineage: Eukaryota; Metazoa; Arthropoda; Insecta; Hymenoptera; Formicidae
Source: RefSeq, a predicted model, not a curated record
GACAAAUGUAAUACUAGCCUAAAACAUCAUAAACAAUGCAUUCGUUGCUCCAGAGAGCGCUCCGCUUCCUUCUCCAAACGCGACUCGACUCUGCUCGGCCAUAGAAGACGUGGGCACAACAAUAUUAUUAUACUACAAGUCUCAUUCUCGAUGAUAACAAGUGUAAUUGUCCGUAUACUCGAUAUCUCAUACGUGCGAAAAAAUAGAUGGCGCAAUCUGUAGCCUCUCUUUAAGGCCCUCGCCGUUCGCGCCAUCCCUGUCAUAUUGUUUCGUUGUGCUUGAUAUCUCGGACGUUCUUGCUAAUUCCUAAGAAUUAUAAGAAUAAGUUAGUGGGAAAAAUGUCUAAAGUAAAGAAAAGGGAUUAUUCGAGAUCAAGAGAAAAAUCGAAAGACAAUGGUAAGAAACAAGAGGUUACGGAAAGAAAGCUGCAUAAAAUACAAAAUUAAUUAGAUAACCUCACAACUGUUAUAAAAUCAUUGGUGCAAACGCGGGAAUCCCAUACUAUGCGAACCAAUCAAAUGGGGGAUCUCCAGAAAUUAGCACUGGUAUGCUCACUUCGUUAAUUGUUUCCAUACGAAACUAUUAAUAUUAGGUUUCUCUCUUCGAUUCCAUAUAAAUCCUCGAAUGUCGGAUACGAAUCCAUAUGAAGCCGACAGAGAGUGCAGCACGUAGAAUACGUGACGCAAUAAGGAAGACUCAUAUAUGUUUUCAAAAUUACUCGAAAAUGCUAUAUGCAGUUUCGAGCGUUGAAAAUCCAUACUAUUUUGAUAUUACCAUAUGAGAUAUGGACUAGCAAUUGCUAGUUUCUGCAUAAGAAACAGUGUCUGCGGGAAAUUAGACAGACAGAGAGACAUACUUUUUGGUACUUCUUUCUUUUAAGAUGUCCGGAAAUAUGUAUUGCACAUGAGUUCGAAGCAUAUGGCAGAUUAAUAUAAUAUGAUCAAAAACUAUAUACAUAUAUUGUAGUGAAGAAUGAAAGACUUUAUAGGCGAACAUAAAAAUGCAA